Molecule: long non-coding RNA, 438 nt
Filed under: Phoenix dactylifera (date palm)
Lineage: Eukaryota; Viridiplantae; Streptophyta; Magnoliopsida; Arecales; Arecaceae
Description: long non-coding RNA (PDAC_LNC014729)
Source: RNAcentral
CUCCGAAAUUGCUUUGAAAUUAUAAUAUAAGAAACUUUUAAUAAUUAAAAAUAUUUUCAAAUUAUGAAAUAAUUUUCAGCUCAACUCCAAUUGAUCCAGGAUCUAUUUGGUGACCGCCAAACCAUUUCAUUGUUUACUUCAUUAAGAUUCUGACAGGCAUGAGACCAGCAUGGCCUUCACAAAGUCGUGAUGAAUCCAAAAACCAAGACUAAUAUCGCUUCCUCUGGUAGCGACACUCUUAAUGCAUGAAGCAGCACAACCACAAAUUGUCUCCACAAGUUGCUUGACUCUCUCACUCCGCUAUCCAUCAUCGUCUUCAUGACCUAUGCUUCUUUCUUCGAGUGGUCCUGAAUGAUCAACCCCCACGCCAAGGUAAGCAUGGUUACCACAAGUAGCUAAGGAGUGAAAGAGCCAGCAUCGGACCAAGACUUGCAGUGC